Molecule: unclassified non-coding RNA, 615 nt
Filed under: Hevea brasiliensis (rubber tree)
Lineage: Eukaryota; Viridiplantae; Streptophyta; Magnoliopsida; Malpighiales; Euphorbiaceae
Source: RNAcentral
CCCGCAGGCAACUUCGCCUCAUUAAUAUUAAGUAUUUGCUCUGAGGGGGAGAAGAGUAUAAGAAUGAUACAAAAGUUCUAACAUAAAAAAAUGAGAUAAGUUGCAGUCGCACAAAUUGCCAGGAUGUAUUUCUUUGUGGGUACAUCAACAUGCUUAUAUGCAGUAUGGCUACACCAGACACUCAAAUUCCCGGCAACCAUUAGCAUGAGAAUAAAAUUUGCCAGUUGAUAACUGCCAUGAAAAGAUAGUGAAGUACCUUGAAAAUUUGAGCUUAGAAACACUCUUCCCAGCACGAGGUCUAGAAAACAAUCUCUCCAUACACACAAGGAAGCAAUACAUAUAUCAUACACCAUANNNNNNNNNNNNACUGGUUGAGAAGUAUUUCAUUCUCCUCACUGUCAUUUAUAUUACCUGUCCUAUCUUUCUCAGUCGACACUUCUUCUGACAGUCCAAUAAGUGAUGCAUAACUUUCAUCUUCAAGACAUCCUGACUGCCUCAACCAACCCUCCAAAACUCCUUUACUUGACAUGUCUGAUUCUUCCUCGCACAGCUUAAAGAAAGACGACACAAGUACAGGUUUUGGCUUCCAAAGCUUUGAUCCUUCAGCAAGAAAAG